UACAGAGGGUGCGAGCGUUAAUCGGAAUUACUGGGCGUAAAGCGCACGUAGUCGGCUUUGCAAGUCGGUUGUGAAAUCCCCGGGCUCAACCUCGAGAUGUCGGCGGAAACCGUCUGGCUAGAGUCCGGAAGAGGAGAGUGGAAUUCCUGGUGUAGCGGUGAAAUGCGCAGAUAUCAGGAAGAACACCGAGGGCGAAGGCAGCUCUCUGGGACGGUGCUGACGCUGAGACGCGAAAGCGUGGGGAGCGAACAGG
Molecule: ribosomal RNA, 253 nt
Filed under: uncultured bacterium
Lineage: Bacteria
Description: partial 16S ribosomal RNA
Rfam family: Bacterial small subunit ribosomal RNA
Source: RNAcentral